RNAcentral lists this ribosomal RNA (199 nucleotides) under uncultured bacterium. Its description in RNAcentral is "partial 16S ribosomal RNA". It matches the Rfam family "Bacterial small subunit ribosomal RNA", at positions 328 to 539 of the family's 1533-position model. The record is from RNAcentral.
ACGCUCGACACCUACGGGAGGAAGCAGUCGGGAAUAUUGCGCAAUGGAGGAAACUCUGACGCAGUGACGCCGCGUGCAGGAAGAAGGUUUUCGGAUUGUAAACUGCUUUAGACAGGGAAGAAGAAGUGACAGUACCUGUAGAAUAAGCUCCGGCUAACUACGUGCAGCAGCCGCGGUAAUCUGAGCGGGCUGGCAAGGC